RNAcentral lists this ribosomal RNA (357 nucleotides) under Mesorhizobium sp. M2D.F.Ca.ET.153.01.1.1. Its description in RNAcentral is "bacterial SSU rRNA". It matches the Rfam family "Bacterial small subunit ribosomal RNA", at positions 865 to 1228 of the family's 1533-position model. Lineage: Bacteria; Pseudomonadati; Pseudomonadota; Alphaproteobacteria; Hyphomicrobiales; Phyllobacteriaceae. The record is from RNAcentral.
UUCGCCGCCUGGGGAGUACGGUCGCAAGACUGAAACUCAAAGGAAUUGACGGGGGCCCGCACAAGCGGUGGAGUAUGUGGUUUAAUUCGAUGCAACGCGAAGAACCUUACCUGGCCUUGACAUGUCGAGAACUUUCCAGAGAUGGAUCGGUGCCUUCGGGAACUCGAACACAGGUGCUGCAUGGCUGUCGUCAGCUCGUGUCGUGAGAUGUUGGGUUAAGUCCCGCAACGAGCGCAACCCUUGUCCCUAGUUGCUACGCAAGAGCACUCCAGGGAGACUGCCGGUGACAAACCGGAGGAAGGUGGGGAUGACGUCAAGUCCUCAUGGCCCUUAUGGGUAGGGCUUCACACGUCAUAC